Small nuclear RNA from Photinus pyralis (common eastern firefly), 159 nucleotides. RefSeq annotates it as U12 minor spliceosomal RNA. The record is from RefSeq and is a predicted model, not a curated record. NCBI's taxonomy places the organism in Eukaryota, Metazoa, Arthropoda, Insecta, Coleoptera, Lampyridae. The transcript has a single exon.
GUGCCUUAAACUAAUGAGUAAGGAAAAUAUGCGAGCCUUGGUAACGCUUGGCUCAUUUGCCUAGCACAGCCUAGAGCUUAGAAUUUUUGCGAGGGCACAGGUCGUCCCGUGGAUACUUUGCCUACUUUUGCAAAUCGUCCUGGUGAAGCGAUCUGCCCC